Molecule: ribosomal RNA, 253 nt
Filed under: uncultured bacterium
Lineage: Bacteria
Description: partial 16S ribosomal RNA
Rfam family: Bacterial small subunit ribosomal RNA
Source: RNAcentral
UACGGGGUGGGCAAGCGUUGUUCGGAAUUACUGGGCGUAAAGGGCGCGUAGGCGGCCUGCUAAGUCGGACGUGAAAUCCCUCGGCUCAACCGGGGAACUGCGUCCGAUACUGGUGGGCUUGAAUCCGGGAGAGGGAUGCGGAAUUCCAGGUGUAGCGGUGAAAUGCGUAGAUAUCUGGAGGAACACCGGUGGCGAAGGCGGCAUCCUGGACCGGCAUUGACGCUGAGGCGCGAAAGCUAGGGGAGCAAACGGG